Molecule: ribosomal RNA, 1345 nt
Filed under: uncultured bacterium
Lineage: Bacteria
Description: bacterial SSU rRNA
Rfam family: Bacterial small subunit ribosomal RNA
Source: RNAcentral
GGAUGAACGCUAGCGGGAGGCUUAACACAUGCAAGUCGAGGGGCAGCAUAGGGUAGCAAUACUCUGAUGGCGACCGGCAAACGGGUGAGUAACGCGUAUGCAACCUACCCUGUACAGGGGGAUAACCCGGAGAAAUUCGGACUAAUAUCCCGUAAUAAUAUCCGGAGGCAUCUUUGGAUAUUUAAAGUUCCGACGGUACGGGAUGGGCAUGCGUAACAUUAGCUGGUUGGUAAGGUAACGGCUUACCAAGGCUAUGAUGUUUAGGGGUCCUGAGAGGGUGGUCCCCCACACUGGUACUGAGACACGGACCAGACUCCUACGGGAGGCAGCAGUGAGGAAUAUUGGUCAAUGGGCGCAAGCCUGAACCAGCCAUCCCGCGUGCAGGAAGACGGCCCUAUGGGUUGUAAACUGCUUUUCCAGGGAGAGAAACUUACGCACGUGUUGCGUGACUGACGGUACCCUGGGAAUAAGCAUCGGCUAACUCCGUGCCAGCAGCCGCGGUAAUACGGAGGAUGCAAGCGUUAUCCGGAUUCAUUGGGUUUAAAGGGUGCGUAGGCGGGCUAUUAAGUCAGUGGUGAAAUCCUGCAGCUUAACUGCAGAACUGCCGUUGAUACUGAUAGUCUUGAGUUUGGUUAAGGUAGGCGGAAUGUGUAAUGUAGCGGUGAAAUGCUUAGAUAUUACACAGAACACCAAUUGCGUAGGCAGCUUACUGAGCCGACACUGACGCUGAGGCACGAAAGCGUGGGGAUCAAACAGGAUUAGAUACCCUGGUAGUCCACGCCGUAAACGAUGAUUACUCGCUGUUGGCGAUACACUGUCAGCGGCUAAGCAAAAGCAAUAAGUAAUCCACCUGGGGAGUACGGCCGCAAGGUUGAAACUCAAAGGAAUUGACGGGGGCCCGCACAAGCGGAGGAACAUGUGGUUUAAUUCGAUGCUCCGCGAAGAACCUUACCUGGGUUUGACAUAACAGUGGUAGAGAAACGAAAGUGGACCGACCCUUCGGGGAGCUGUUACAGGUGUUGCAUGGCUGUCGUCAGCUCGUGUCGUGAGAUGUUCGGUUAAGUCCGCUAACGAGCGCAACCCGCGCUGUGUGUUACAAGUGUCACACAGUACCGCCGGUAUUAAGUCGGAGGAAGGUGCGGAUGACGUCAAGUCAGCAUGACCUUUAUAUCCAGGGCUACACACACGCUACAAUGGUCAGCACAAUAGGUUGCCAAGCCGCAAGGCGGAGCCAAUCCUCCAAAGCUGGCCUCAGUUCAGAUUGCAGGCUGCAACUCGCCUGCAUGAAGUCGGAGUUGCUAGUAACCGCAGGUCAGCAUACUGCGGUGAAUACGUUCCCGGGGAU